UCAUCCGCCCGCCCGGUAAGCGCGAGGCGGCGGCCCUUGAAGGAGAAAGUCUGCUCGCGCUGGAGCGGGAAGGGGCUCUGGGAAUGCGCAGGUGUUCCCCAAAGCCUGCUACCAUCCCCGAAGACGCGCUCGUCUUCUCAGAACUGUAGCCAGCGCUGGGAAAGACGCGAGGAGACAAAGUGAGUCAGGCUGUGGUGGAACCCGCCAAGGCUCAGAAACAAGAAUGAGGCAAAGAAACACACUAAUCACCCCUCUACCCCACGCCAUCGCGCCCACGAAAUGAGAUAUCCUUUGAAGCGUGGAGACUGCAGAGUUGUACUCAGACCAAAUCUUAAUACCUACGAUUCGUCUGGUGCUGAGUUAUCUCACUGUGUUCAAAGCAGAACAGCAACCUAAAAAAACUCAUCUUUUUCUACACCAAAUGCCCCCUCCCACGUUCUAAUUUUUGCCACAGGCGCCAUCUUUAGCUCUGAGUCACCAGGGAUGGAAAAAUACUAGACAAGUCCUCCUCGUCUCGAAUUUUCUGCAGUUGUUGUCACACACUAAAACCUGUUGCUUCGUUUGUACGUUCUGGACACUGGGAAGUCCAAGAUCAAGGUGGUGGCAGAUUUAAUGUCUGGACUUACAACUGACAGAAGACCAGAGAAGGUAUGGUAGUACCAGG
Long non-coding RNA from Camelus dromedarius (Arabian camel), 664 nucleotides. RefSeq lists it as uncharacterized. The transcript is spliced from 3 exons. The record is from RefSeq and is a predicted model, not a curated record. Lineage: Eukaryota; Metazoa; Chordata; Mammalia; Artiodactyla; Camelidae.